This is a long non-coding RNA of Danio rerio (zebrafish), 2773 nucleotides long. The record is from Ensembl. Lineage: Eukaryota; Metazoa; Chordata; Actinopteri; Cypriniformes; Danionidae.
UGCCAGUGCAUUUACUGUUAUUUUACACACUUAUUUCUCUAAAUAUUAUUUCUUGUACGUUAUAUUAUUUACUACAAAGUCAAUAAAAGUCACUUUAUUAUACUGUAGAGUGGAAUUUUCAACACGAGCAGAGAUCAACAUCCCAUAAUGCAAUUCACAGCUGGAAAUAAACACUUGUGAAUCACAAAAUACAGAAACUGUUCAUUAACUGAUAUCGUUUACAGUGUAGUUAACUUUCAGGCAUGAAGGUCAAGCAAAUAAACUCAAAACUAAUCCCAUUUUCAUUUUAAAAAAAUAAUUAAUUUCUGUUGACUGAUGGUGAAAUAAUACGUCAGCAUGUAGUCCAUAAAAAAGUAACUGUAGUCUAAUUAAGUGUUGUUAUUUUGUAAAUGUGAUGUACACUAAUUACAAGUGUUUUGUAAUCAGAUUAUGUACUAGCACUGGUUUAUUUACUGUAGCCAUUGACAAAGUAAUCACGUUGUGGUAAUUCUGUCUUUAAUCCAUUUGCACUGACUGUAGCAAUACAAAACUGUGUGUGGAAAUACUUACAGUAGUUAUUUUAGCGAUAAUAAGAAAUAUAAGCGUUGCAGGUUUUGCCUGUAGAGGUAAUCUAACGUGAUUGUAUUUUUGAUAGUUGUUUUUUUGGAUGUUUUCUAAAGAGGUUUGUAGCUGGUUGUUAUACAAGAUAACACGCGUGUACUGAUAUUUUUAUUUUUUGGUGAAACUGCAGUAUAAAUUAACAUCAUAGAUGUACAUGGAAAUGUUAAUAUUGAAAAAUGUUAUUUAUAUAGAUUUAGAUUUGUUGGUGAUCAUUAGUACAGACACACAAGGAAAUCUUUACUGUUUAUAUUUACUACGAUUUACCUAGUUUUAUAAAGUCUAGUUGAAGUGUUUUGUAAUAUUUCUAUACUAUUAAAUAGAAAUAAAUACCUUGAAUUAUGGAAGCCCGUUCCCGACUCUGAAUAAAAAAACAGGUCAUUGCUAUUUUUUUUUCUCUGUAUCGCAUGAUGCAAAUUCACAAUUGUGACCUUUAUUUUCCCUCAGAUUUGUGAGAUUAGAUUCAAGAUUUAGAUUUAACUUUAUUGUUAUUACACACGUACAAGUACAAGGCAAUGAAUGCAGUUUCGCAAUCGCGAGAUAUAAACUCAGAUUUCUGAAAAAUAAAGUCACAAUUGUGUGGUAGAAAUUCGCAAUGCUGAGAAAUAAAGUUACAACUGCGUGAUAUAGAGCCAGAAUUUGGAGUUUAAAAAAAAAAAAAAAACUCAAUUGUGAGUUAUAAAGUCAGAGUUUAGAGAUAAAAAAAGUCACAAUUCCAUAAUAUAAAGUCAAAAAUUGGCGAAAUAGUCACAAUUGCGUGAUAUAAAUAUCAAAUUCAGAGAAAUAAAGUCCGAAUUCGGAGAUGAAAUGUCAUUCUGUGUCAAUGUCAGAAUUUGGUGAAAAAGUUGCAAUGAUAUAAAGUCAGAUCUCAGAGAAAUAAAGUCAGAAUUCACAGAUUUAAAAAAAAUCUAAGUUUCGAGGUUUAAAGUUAGAAUUCUGCCUUCAUAUCUUGCAAUUUUGAGACUUAAGAGUUGCAAUUGUGAGUUAUUUGUAAGUUUAUUUUUCUCAGAACUUGAAAUUGCAGAACUGCAAGAUAUAAACUCCGAAUUUGGAGAUUAAAAGUCGCAAUUUCAUGAUAUAAAGUCGCAUUUUGGUGAGGUAAAGUUGCAAUUGCAUGUUAUAAAGUCAUAAUUUGGAGAUAAAAAUCACAACUGUGUGAUAUAAUGUCAGAAUUUGAAGAUAAAUGUGCAAUUCACAGAUAUAAAGUCAGAAUUCGGAGAUUAAAAAGUCACAAUUGUAUGUCAAAGUCAGAAUUUAGAGAAAUCAGGUCACAAUUGAAUGAUGUAAAGUCAGAAUUUAGAGAAAUAAAGUCGCAGUUUUGAGCUUUAAAGUCAGAAUUCAGAGAUACGAAAGUCGCAAUUCUGAGAAAUAAAGUCACAAUUGUGAGUUUUAAAGCCAGAAUCUGGAGAUAAAGCCCCAACUGCAUGAUAUUAAGUCAGGAUUCGGAUAUAAAAAGUUGCAAUUGCGUGAUAUUAAGUCAGAGUUCAAGACAUAAAAAGUCAGAAUUCUGAGCAGAAGUCGCAAUAAAUUCAGAAUUCAAGCAUAAAAUGUCAAAUUGGAGUUACAGAGUCAGAAAUCUGGGAUAAAAAGUCACAAUUGUGUGAUAUAAAGUCAGAAUUUGGAGAAAUGAAGUCGCAACUACAUAUUAUAAAUUCAGAAUUUGGAGAUAAAAGUUGCUAUUGCGAGUUAUAAAGUCAGAACUGUAAGUUUUAAAGUAAUUUCCUGUUAAAGAGACUGACCUUAGAUGGACAAUGGACAGAAAAAAAAGUCUAAAUUGUGAGUUUGCAUCGUGCGAUUCUAAGAUAAAAAGUUGCAAUAACCAUUUUUUUAUUGAUUUAUUCAGAUUCAGGAAGAAGCGUCCAUAUAGAAUAGAUAUGGUGUGUGUUUUGUGAGAGUCUGAGAGUCUAAACAAUAAUGUCUACAAGAUCUCGACACACUUUCUGUUGUACAUUUUCACUAUAUUGAUACGGUUUCUGACUUUGUAAAGCGUGUUUAUACUGAGAUCACGUUUGCUUCUGGUUUCGGAGACUGAAUGGUCAGUGCAAUGACAAAACAGUGAUGCCACUAAAUAAUAACAAUCACGAUUGAGAGUCGACAAUACAAAGCUUUCUGUUUCUGGCUUUUGUUGUAUAAUAAAAGUCUGUUCUUGUGUGCAAUAAAGAGUGCAAUAAGAGGA